RNAcentral lists this unclassified non-coding RNA (184 nucleotides) under uncultured fungus. Its description in RNAcentral is "partial contains 18S rRNA, ITS1, 5.8S rRNA, ITS2 and 28S rRNA". Lineage: Eukaryota; Fungi. The record is from RNAcentral.
AAGGAUCAUUAACGUGGGGCUCCGGCCCCGCCGAGAUAGAACCCUUGCCUUUUCGAGAACCACACGUUUCCUCGGCAGGCCCGCCUGCCAACGGGGACCCAAACACAAACCCUUGAACCACCUGUAACAGUCUGAGAAAACAAAACAAAAAUCAAAACUUUCAACAACGGAUCUCUUGGUUCUG